Non-coding RNA from Potamilus streckersoni, 68 nucleotides. NCBI's taxonomy places the organism in Eukaryota, Metazoa, Mollusca, Bivalvia, Unionida, Unionidae. The record is from the annotation of a GenBank genome assembly.
GUGGCCUAGUGGUUAGAGCAUCCGCCUCUGAUUUGGGAGGUCGUGGGUUCGAUCUCAUACCAAAGACA